GAUGAAGAACGUAGCGAAAUGCGAUAAGUAAUGUGAAUUGCAGAAUUCAGUGAAUCAUCGAAUCUUUGAACGCACCUUGCGCUCCUUGGUAUUCCGAGGAGCAUGCCUGUUUGAGUGUCAUUAAUAUAUCAACCUCUUCAGCUUAUGCUUGUUGAGUGUUGGAUGGUGGGGGUUUGCUGGUGUCUUAUGAAGUCAGCUCCUCUGAAAUGCAUUAGCGGAACAAUUUGUUGACCGUUCAUUGGUGUGAUAAAAAUAUCUACGCUAUUGACGUCAGUCAGUUCAGCUUCUAACAGUCCAUUGACUUGGACAAAUUUUUCAUUAAUGUGACCUCAAAUCAGGUAGGACUACCCGCUGAACUUAAGCAUAUCAAUAGCGGAGG
Molecule: unclassified non-coding RNA, 379 nt
Filed under: soil metagenome
Description: partial contains 5.8S ribosomal RNA, internal transcribed spacer 2, and large subunit ribosomal RNA
Rfam family: 5.8S ribosomal RNA (bases 1-120)
Source: RNAcentral